Molecule: ribosomal RNA, 1372 nt
Filed under: uncultured bacterium
Lineage: Bacteria
Description: bacterial SSU rRNA
Rfam family: Bacterial small subunit ribosomal RNA
Source: RNAcentral
GAUGAACGCUGGCGGCGUGCCUAAUACAUGCAAGUCGAGCGAACGGACGAGAAGCUUGCUUCUCUGAUGUUAGCGGCGGACGGGUGAGUAACACGUGGAUAACCUACCUAUAAGACUGGGAUAACUUCGGGAAACCGGAGCUAAUACCGGAUAAUAUUUUGAACCGCAUGGUUCAAAAGUGAAAGACGGUCUUGCUGUCACUUAUAGAUGGAUCCGCGCUGCAUUAGCUAGUUGGUAAGGUAACGGCUUACCAAGGCAACGAUGCAUAGCCGACCUGAGAGGGUGAUCGGCCACACUGGAACUGAGACACGGUCCAGACUCCUACGGGAGGCAGCAGUAGGGAAUCUUCCGCAAUGGGCGAAAGCCUGACGGAGCAACGCCGCGUGAGUGAUGAAGGUCUUCGGAUCGUAAAACUCUGUUAUUAGGGAAGAACAUAUGUGUAAGUAACUGUGCACAUCUUGACGGUACCUAAUCAGAAAGCCACGGCUAACUACGUGCCAGCAGCCGCGGUAAUACGUAGGUGGCAAGCGUUAUCCGGAAUUAUUGGGCGUAAAGCGCGCGUAGGCGGUUUUUUAAGUCUGAUGUGAAAGCCCACGGCUCAACCGUGGAGGGUCAUUGGAAACUGGAAAACUUGAGUGCAGAAGAGGAAAGUGGAAUUCCAUGUGUAGCGGUGAAAUGCGCAGAGAUAUGGAGGAACACCAGUGGCGAAGGCGACUUUCUGGUCUGUAACUGACGCUGAUGUGCGAAAGCGUGGGGAUCAAACAGGAUUAGAUACCCUGGUAGUCCACGCCGUAAACGAUGAGUGCUAAGUGUUAGGGGGUUUCCGCCCCUUAGUGCUGCAGCUAACGCAUUAAGCACUCCGCCUGGGGAGUACGACCGCAAGGUUGAAACUCAAAGGAAUUGACGGGGACCCGCACAAGCGGUGGAGCAUGUGGUUUAAUUCGAAGCAACGCGAAGAACCUUACCAAAUCUUGACACCCUUUGACAACUCUAGAGAUAGAGCCUUCCCCUUCGGGGGACAAAGUGACAGGUGGUGCAUGGUUGUCGUCAGCUCGUGUCGUGAGAUGUUGGGUUAAGUCCCGCAACGAGCGCAACCCUUAAGCUUAGUUGCCAUCAUUAAGUUGGGCACUCUAAGUUGACUGCCGGUGACAAACCGGAGGAAGGUGGGGAUGACGUCAAAUCAUCAUGCCCCUUAUGAUUUGGGCUACACACGUGCUACAAUGGACAAUACAAAGGGCAGCGAAACCGCGAGGUCAAGCAAAUCCCAUAAAGUUGUUCUCAGUUCGGAUUGUAGUCUGCAACUCGACUACAUGAAGCUGGAAUCGCUAGUAAUCGUAGAUCAGCAUGCUACGGUGAAUACGUUCCCGGGUCU